GUUUCCGUGGUGUAGUGGUUAUCACGCUCGCCUGACACGCGAGAGGUCCUUGGCUCGAAAGCGAGCGGAAGCA
Molecule: non-coding RNA, 73 nt
Organism: Delphinapterus leucas (beluga whale)
Lineage: Eukaryota; Metazoa; Chordata; Mammalia; Artiodactyla; Monodontidae
Source: the annotation of a RefSeq genome assembly